This is a long non-coding RNA of Myotis brandtii (Brandt's bat), 546 nucleotides long. RefSeq lists it as uncharacterized. The record is from RefSeq and is a predicted model, not a curated record. The transcript has 3 exons. NCBI's taxonomy places the organism in Eukaryota, Metazoa, Chordata, Mammalia, Chiroptera, Vespertilionidae.
GGGCUAGGCUAGUGCUGGGGAGCGGGAGCCGAGGCUGCGCCCGGAGGGCUGGGGAAACUGCCUGGCCCGGGUGCGGGAGCCGGAGGAAGCCACUGCUGCGCUCGCUCUCUCGGACGCCGGGCGCUGCAUCCUUGGCUAAAACCCACAGACGAGAACACGGAGCGUGCAGCCCUAAGCUAGUGAUGUCAUCCGUGCAACGUGAGCCUCAUCUCUUAUUUUUCUAGCCGCCUUAAAGAUAAACUGCACCAUUUCCCAGGCACGAAAUGUCUAAGCCUUAUUCUUUGACCAGGCAAGUCAAUGGUGUCGAGAUAGGCAUUGACCUCCUGGCCUGAGGAAUCAUUGUCUAUCUGGAUGGUCUCCUAUUCUAUUCCCUGACCUGACAUCUCAUGAGUCUGGAUCCAGAAAGAAAAGUCAUCUGAGGAUGAGGACAUAGAGAGAAGACGGCCCUCUAUAAGCCAGAAAGAGUCUUCCCAGGAAGUCCAAUUGACAACACCUUGAUCUGGUACUUUCAGCCUUCAGAAGUAUGAGAAAAUAAAUUUAUGUUGU